AUAGCCCUGCAGUGCCCGUGAUUGAACAGCUUGAGGGCGAACCAACACCAGAAUCUAGGGUGCAAGGCCAACGAGCGUAGAUGUGAUAGCCUACCCGAAAGGGAGAGGGCAAGACGGAAGCGUUCAGCCGGCGCCCACCUACGAACCUCGGUUCGUACCCACUGGAUCACACGGCAUUGCGGGGUCGCA
Molecule: non-coding RNA, 189 nt
Filed under: Caldilineaceae bacterium
Lineage: Bacteria; Bacillati; Chloroflexota; Caldilineae; Caldilineales; Caldilineaceae
Description: 6S RNA
Rfam family: 6S / SsrS RNA
About the family: E. coli 6S RNA was the first non coding RNA to be sequenced, but its function was unknown until recently.
Source: RNAcentral